Molecule: ribosomal RNA, 822 nt
Filed under: Triticum aestivum (bread wheat)
Lineage: Eukaryota; Viridiplantae; Streptophyta; Magnoliopsida; Poales; Poaceae
Description: partial small subunit ribosomal RNA
Source: RNAcentral
AUGACCGCAGAAACCACCCCACUCCCUCGCAUGCAGGCGCACCAUGUUCUGAACAACACUGUCGGCACCCCGACAACCCACUCCAUGAUGAAACUCCCGAUUCGCAAUGUCCAGGACACUGCCGGGGCACACCAUGCUCCAGAGACAAUAGAGGCCAUCGACCUUGGCACCAUGCUGGCGCGCAUCCGUGGCUCGGCAAUGUGGACCAUGUCUUCUUCCACACCUGCACCGACGAUCGAUGUGGAGCAAUCCACAAAUAAUCACGAAGUGAGACAUGCCUAUUGGAUGCCUGGCUCCAGGGAGCCCGGGCACAAGCCCGAUGGCGACAAGAAGACUAAGGAGAAGAUGAAGAGAGAGCAAGAAGCAUCGAGCUUGAGGGAGAAGAUUGAUGCCAUGGUGCAAUCAAACGAGUCGAUGUUGUUGAAGUCGUUGGAGAUCAAGAAAGAGUUGGCCGAGAAGAAGGCAAAGGAGAAGCAAGAAAAGUGGCAAUUGCUCAAGGAAGAGCAUGCGCUUGAGGAGAGAAGAGCACGCGCUGCAGAAAACAAAGCCAUGUCCAAGCUGCUCGCCGAAGAGAACAAGAUCAUGUCAAUGAGUUGCAAUGACAUGGACGAUCUCACCAAAACAUGGCAUGAUAUGGCAAGGAGAAAUAUCUUGAAGAGGAGAAUGGUUGCGUCGGCCGGUGCGUGCUACAGUUCCGGAGAUGUUUUCUCCGCUCCAUAUGGUGGCAAUGUUGAUGAUUUCGGUGCGGAAGUUGGAACAAGCGCUAGAGGUGGAUUCGGUGGUGGCGAUGAACUUCAAGAUGGACUCGACGGCGCGGAGUAA